This 510-nucleotide ribosomal RNA is filed under the name uncultured bacterium. Its description in RNAcentral is "partial 16S ribosomal RNA". It matches the Rfam family "Bacterial small subunit ribosomal RNA", at positions 28 to 507 of the family's 1533-position model. The record is from RNAcentral.
GACGAACGCUGGCGGCGUGCUUAACACAUGCAAGUCGAACGAAGAGCGAUGGAAGCUUGCUUCUAUCAAUCUUAGUGGCGAACGGGUGAGUAACGCGUAAUCAACCUGCCCUUCAGAGGGGGACAACAGUUGGAAACGACUGCUAAUACCGCAUACGAUCUAAUCUCGGCAUCGAGGAUAGAUGAAAGGUGGCCUCUACAUGUAAGCUAUCACUGAAGGAGGGGAUUGCGUCUGAUUAGCUAGUUGGAGGGGUAACGGCCCACCAAGGCGAUGAUCAGUAGCCGGGCUGAGAGGAUGAACGGCCACAUUGGGACUGAGACACGGCCCAGACGCCUACAGGAGGCAGCAGUGGGGAAUCUUCCGCAAUGGACGAAAGUCUGACGGAGCAACGCCGCGGGAGUGAUGACGGCCUUCGGGUUGUAAAGCUCGGUUAAUCGGGACGAAAGGCCUUCUUGCGAAUAGAGAGAAGGAUUGACGGUACCGGAAUAGAAAGCCACGGCUAACUACGUG